RNAcentral lists this ribosomal RNA (242 nucleotides) under uncultured bacterium. Its description in RNAcentral is "partial 16S ribosomal RNA". It matches the Rfam family "Bacterial small subunit ribosomal RNA", at positions 368 to 624 of the family's 1533-position model. The record is from RNAcentral.
AGNAUGGGCGGAGCCUGAUGCAGCACGCCGCGUGCGGGAUGACGGCCUUCGGGUUGUAAACCGCUUUCGCCUGUGACGAAGCGUGAGUGACGGUAAUGGGUAAAGAAGCACCGGCUAACUACGUGCCAGCAGCCGCGGUGAUACGUAGGGUGCGAGCGUUGUCCGGAUUUAUUGGGCGUAAAGGGCUCGUAGGUGGUUGAUCGCGUCGGAAGUGUAAUCUUGGGGCUUAACCCUGAGCGUGC